Long non-coding RNA from Pomacea canaliculata, 2608 nucleotides. RefSeq lists it as uncharacterized. Lineage: Eukaryota; Metazoa; Mollusca; Gastropoda; Architaenioglossa; Ampullariidae. The record is from RefSeq and is a predicted model, not a curated record. The transcript has 2 exons.
CUGUCAGAGUUCGCAUGGAUCACAAGAUCGCUACUUUUCACUGUCGUUGUCGUCACGGCCUUGUCCAAAUCGAACUGUCUGAGCUACUGAUGCCCUACAACCCGAGACGAUCUCUUCCAUGUGCACAAGCAGAUAUGCGUAGGCAAUAGGUCCUACUGCGCAUGCGCAAAUAUUUGUUUACAUCCGGAAACUACUAGCAGGCAGCAGACGACAGUACUGCAGAUCUACCUAAGAAAUAACUAGAAAAUUAAAGAUCUUGGAUAAGGAAAAAUCACAUGUGCUUAUAGCAAGGGAAACAAGAAUGUGGAAGAAAAAGCUGAAACUCCACAAGUGACAAGUACAAACCGGAAGUUUUCAUCGGCACUUACAGGAGCUCGAUGUUAGUGCCAGACUGUGAUGUCCUCUGACGCCUCGUUCCCCAAUAUACAAACUUGAGAGGUACGUACAUCUUUAAUUCCCGUAAUUAAAGUAAAGAACACGUAAUUUUUUAAUUAUUCUGUAUAAAUUAGUAUAAAUUUCAUUUUCUAUGCUGCUUUUCUGCUUUCAUUGAACGUUUUCCUUGAUGAAGGCAAUUUUGGAGUUCCCGCUAACACGCCACCUCGCGUACCUGUUUUUUGCUUUUCUUUGCUUGUUGCUUUUUUUCACAACAAUGAUUGCUUUCUGGUUUCUGACAGAGAUAAUCCUGCACAUCAUAUUAUAAAGUGAAACAGCUAAAAUGCUAAAAGCGUGCGCACGCAUACACACACAGAUUGCAUCAAGUGAUGUCCAUAAGACUGGUCUUCUUCUAAUUUGUCUUUACCUUCAUUUCAGUUUUUGUUCUUUAGCAUGAACGUUUAUACAAAAAUAUCCGAUUUUGAUACAGAUGCUUUUUUUUCACCACUUGCAGAGUUGGCUAUAUUGAAAAACAAAAGAAAUACAUCAUUUUGUCAUGCACUAUGUUCUGAGAAUUCUCCAUGAGUCUGUCCACUGCUGACAGCCUGUUCAGAGAUGUGAUAGCUCAGCAACCGGUGAGGUUUACUUCAUAGGUCAAAUGCGGAUUCUGCUUUCGGUUAUCCAGCUACACAUGCACUUCCUUCCAACGCCUCUUUGGUCGCCACUGUUAUCUGUCAUCUAGCCCUCUGAGCGACUACGACAUAGCUCACAGCCCUUCCGCCAACCACACUACGCCGCACUCUAUCUCGAUAAAGCACGCGACCAAGACGUGUUUUCUUUGGUGGGCCAUGCGUAUAAAUACUGCUUACCCCAUGCCUAAGGAGAAUGUACAAACAAGAAAAAUCUGUGUAAAAUCGGGUGAACUGUUUGUUAACACAAUGAAAAAUACGCGGAAACCAAGAAAGGCAACCUCUUGGAAGAAACCUGGUCUACACAGAGCACAGAGCACAGAUUUUCUUUGGCUGGUCAAACCAUUAGUGCGUUUGUAUGCAUGUCCCGUUGAUCACAUACGAGUCUGAUACAAAACUGACCACAGACAGGCGGCUGACCAGAAGUCCAGAGCUGUUGACAGUCCAAACAGCUGAAUGUCCGUUCGAUACAAUUUCCUUGAUCGAUAUUCCGCGAUAUUAGACUUGCAGCUGAACACUGAUAGCGAAAAUGCUUCCAGGCCGGCGUUCCCGCAGUAUGCAAAGCAGUUAAAGGUUCGCUAGAGAGUUUGUGUCUGGUUUUUUGUACCGGAAUAAGCUCUGUACAAGCAUGACUUCACAAAAUCCGCUUUCCAUUACUUCAGAAUUCUUGAGGUACAAACUUGUGAAGCAAAACAUCGUCAAGCAAAGAAAGACACAAAACGCUGACACCGUUAUCUAUCUACAUAAUGACCUACAUUAUCGACACUGCAGUCGAUGAGACAGCUAAGUUCAUCUGUUAGCUAUGCUAAUCCUUAGCAUUUGUGACGUCACAGGUCUAUUGACGGCGAUGUUUAUAGGCUUGUGUCUCUAGAUAGUAAUGGAAAGGAGACUUACUCACUAGGGAUACAGUUGUUUUUUUUUUUUUUUAAGAAGGCUCCACCCAAUGGUUAACUCAACAAAUAUCUGCACUAUUGCAGAGCUUUAACAACCGCCCAAAAGGCCAUCAGAAUGCAUUUAGCUACAUCACACACCCAAAGAUGGAGUCCUUUACGACCGCAGACAAGAUGUUUAUCGCUGGCCGGCUGCGUGUAAGGACGGGCACAAAGCUGCAUGACAAGAAUGCAGAAGCUCGAGCAUUUGUAACAAGGUCCGAUAGGCAUACGAUCUGGAGGUGUCAUCAUAUUCUGAUAACUUUGAUCAGCAGAAGAUCGAUGAGAUGCUAGUUUUAACAGCCCCUGAGGUGCUAGGGCGACAUAGGAAGAAAAAUUAACCCUGGAUCAUCAAUAUCCUAUAUCUCUAUGACUGUCACAGACACUCGCGUACACGUAGACGUCUCACAUGCGCGCAUUCUUUUCUUCCCAAAGCAACUCUACCUCUUUCACAGGCCUGUGUACAUUUAAUGAUAUUAACUAAAUUUAUGCUACAGUAGCAAAUAAAAAUACACGAUAUAUGUAGAAAAUGAUUUAUCAGUAUACAUCCCUCAGUCAAUUCUUACAACUGUCUCUUGUGUUAAUAUCUCUGACUGUAAAGAUAGUCCUAAAAAAAAA